AUUGAACGCUGGCGGCAGGCCUAACACAUGCAAGUCGAGCGGAUGAAGGGAGCUUGCUCCUGGAUUCAGCGGCGGACGGGUGAGUAAUGCCUAGGAAUCUGCCUGGCAGUGGGGGAUAACGUCCGGAAACGGGCGCUAAUACCGCAUACGUCCUGAGGGAGAAAGUGGGGGAUCUUCGGACCUCACGCUAUCAGAUGAGCCUAGGUCGGAUUAGCUAGUUGGUGGGGUAAAGGCCUACCAAGGCGACGAUCCGUAACUGGUCUGAGAGGAUGAUCAGCCACACUGGAACUGAGACACGGUCCAGACUCCUACGGGAGGCAGCAGUGGGGAAUAUUGGACAAUGGGCGAAAGCCUGAUCCAGCCAUGCCGCGUGUGUGAAGAAGGUCUUCGGAUUGUAAAGCACUUUUAGUUGGGAAGAAGGGCAGUAAGUUAAUACCUUGCUGUUUUGACGUUACCAACAGAAUAAGCACCGGCUAACUUCGUG
RNAcentral lists this ribosomal RNA (484 nucleotides) under uncultured bacterium. RNAcentral's name for it is "partial 16S ribosomal RNA". It matches the Rfam family "Bacterial small subunit ribosomal RNA", at positions 30 to 507 of the family's 1533-position model. The record is from RNAcentral.